This 324-nucleotide ribosomal RNA is filed under the name uncultured eukaryote. RNAcentral describes it as "partial 18S ribosomal RNA". It matches the Rfam family "Eukaryotic small subunit ribosomal RNA", at positions 1470 to 1796 of the family's 1831-position model. The record is from RNAcentral.
CCCUUAGAUGUUCUGGGCCGCACGCGCGCUACACUGUUCGACGCAGCGAGUCUUAACCUUGACCGAAAGGUUUGGGUAAUCUUCAGCAAAGUCGAACGUGAUGGGGAUCGAUCAUUGCAAUUAUUGAUCGUGAACGAGGAAUUCCUAGUAAGUGCAAGUCAUCAGCUUGCGCUGAUUACGUCCCUGCCCUUUGUACACACCGCCCGUCGCUCCUACCGAUUGGAUGAUCCGGUGAGCUAUUCGGACCUUCGCUUCGUCGAUUUUCGGCUUUGUGAGGGAAAGUCUCGCGAACCUUAUCAUCUAGAGGAAGGAGAAGUCGUAACA